This 86-nucleotide transfer RNA is filed under the name Candidatus Moduliflexus flocculans. It matches the Rfam family "tRNA". Rfam says of the family: Transfer RNA (tRNA) molecules are approximately 80 nucleotides in length. Their secondary structure includes four short double-helical elements and three loops (D, anti-codon, and T loops). The record is from Rfam by way of RNAcentral. Lineage: Bacteria; Candidatus Moduliflexota; Candidatus Moduliflexia; Candidatus Moduliflexales; Candidatus Moduliflexaceae.
GGAGUGGUAGUCUCGUAACUGGCAGCGAGGCCGGUCUGUAAAACCGGCGGCGUCCGCCCUUGCUGGUUCGAAUCCAGCGCACUCCA